Molecule: ribosomal RNA, 263 nt
Filed under: uncultured bacterium
Lineage: Bacteria
Description: partial 16S ribosomal RNA
Rfam family: Bacterial small subunit ribosomal RNA
Source: RNAcentral
GUCCACGCCGUAAACUUUGGGUGCUAGGUGUCGCGGGUAUUGACCCCUGCGGUGCCGCCGCUAACGCAUUAAGCACCCCGCCUGGGGAGUACGGUCGCAAGGCUAAAACUCAAAGGAAUUGACGGGGCCCGCACAAGCGGUGGAGCAUGUGGUUUAAUUCGAAGCAACGCGCAGAACCUUACCUGGGCUUGACAUCCUCGGAACCUCCUGGAAACAGGAGGGUGCCUUCGGGAACCGAGAGACAGGUGCUGCAUGGCUGUCGU